RNAcentral lists this ribosomal RNA (250 nucleotides) under uncultured prokaryote. Its description in RNAcentral is "partial 16S rRNA". It matches the Rfam family "Bacterial small subunit ribosomal RNA", at positions 525 to 775 of the family's 1533-position model. The record is from RNAcentral.
ACGUAGGGGACGAGCGUUGUCCGGAUUUACUGGGCGUAAAGGGCGCGUAGGCGGUCAUUUAAGUCAGCUGUGAAAUGGUUUGGCUUAACCGGAUCAUGCGGUUGAAACUGGAUGACUGGAGUGCUGGAGAGGCGAGUGGAAUUCCCAGUGUAGCAGUGAAAUGCGGAGAUAUUGGGAGGAACACCGGUGGCGAAGGCGGCUUACUGGCCAGGAACCGACGGUGAGGCGCGAAAGCGAGGGGAGCAAACGG